GCUGGGCAUGGUGGUACAUGCCUGUAAUCCCAGCUACUCAGGAGGCUGAGGCAGGAGAAUCACUUGAACCCAGGAGGCAGAGGUUGCAGUGAGCUGAGAUUGCACCACUGCACUCCAGCCUGGGUGACAGAGUGAGACCCCGUCUCAA
Unclassified non-coding RNA from Pongo abelii (Sumatran orangutan), 148 nucleotides. It matches the Rfam family "Metazoan signal recognition particle RNA". Rfam says of the family: The signal recognition particle (SRP) is a universally conserved ribonucleoprotein. It is involved in the co-translational targeting of proteins to membranes. The record is from Ensembl. Lineage: Eukaryota; Metazoa; Chordata; Mammalia; Primates; Hominidae.